UGGGGAAUAUUGCACAAUGGGCGCAAGCCUGAUGCAGCAACGCCGCGUGAGGGACGACGGCCUUCGGGUUGUAAACCUCUUUUAGUAGGGAAGAAGCGAAAGUGACGGUACCUGCAGAAAAAAGCACCGGCUAACUACGUGCCAGCAGCCGCGGUAAUACGUAGGGUGCGAGCGUUGUCCGGAAUUAUUGGGCGUAAAGAGCUCGUAGGCGGUCUGUCGCGUCUGCUGUGAAAACCCGAGGCUCAACCUCGGGCCUGCAGUGGGUACGGGCAGACUAGAGUGCGGUAGGGGAGAAUGGAAUUCCUGGUGUAGCGGUGGAAUGCGCAGAUAUCAGGAGGAACACCGAUGGCGAAGGCAGUUCUCUGGGCCGUAACUGGCGCUGAGGAGCGAAAGCGUGGGGAGCGAACAGGAUUAGAUACCCUGGUAGUCCACGCCGUAAACGUUGGGCGCUAGAUGUGGGGACCAUUCCACGGUUUCCGUGUCGCAGCUAACGCAUUAAGCGCCCCGCCUGGGGAGUACGGCCGCAAGGCUAAAAC
Molecule: ribosomal RNA, 536 nt
Filed under: uncultured bacterium
Lineage: Bacteria
Description: partial 16S ribosomal RNA
Rfam family: Bacterial small subunit ribosomal RNA
Source: RNAcentral